This 6106-nucleotide long non-coding RNA is filed under the name Sus scrofa (pig). RNAcentral describes it as "lncRNA (ENSSSCG00040038023.1)". Lineage: Eukaryota; Metazoa; Chordata; Mammalia; Artiodactyla; Suidae. The record is from RNAcentral.
AACCUGGUCUGAAGCCUUUGGAAAGUAAGAACCUUGUGCUUUUGAAGUCCCUCCAGAAGGUAGCACUUCCCAGGUACCAGAGAAAUAUUUGUUAAUAAACCCACUGUUUGCAAAGAUCACAGUUGAUUUUCAAGGCAACAGAUUUCUAUGUCAUAGCUGCUCCUCCUCCCCCGUCCCCACUACCACGGCCUUAUAAUUUUGGAAAAUUCAUCCAAGGAGGACUCAUGCUAUGUUAUAUUAGAGGGAAACAUUCCACCCCUUUUGGGAAGGCAGAUAUAAAUUGCGCCAGAUUGCAGGCACCCUAAUUAGAGACACUGGUAAUGUGACUGCUGUUCUAAGACCCCCAAAUCCUCACUGAGGCCACCUCUGUCUUUGCACAUUAGAAUUUUUGCCACUCUACAUCAACGUGGCCAAACUGCCCUUCUGAUGGGGCUGCUGGUACCCACAGCCCAGACGUCAGGGUCAAGAGGCCUGCCCACCAAACCUGUCAUCACAAGGGAACUCGGCACCAGCCGUUCUCCGGAGAGCUGGGCAUGGAGCGCAGAUCACUGGCUCUACAUAGGAAAGGCUGAUAAAGCUGCUGCUACUUUUAUUGUUUCUCAUAAGUUGGCCUUUAUGCAAACCAUCAUGACCUACAUGUUUAAUUUAGAUCUUUAUUUUCUGUUUCAUAAACCCGUUUAAUUUAAUAUCACUGUAAAAAAUCCAAGUGGAUGCACAUGAUGUUCUGCUGGUACUAAUCUCUUUGGGCUCGACUCUCACAGCUAAUAUUGGGGUCAUCGCAAGAGCACAAGAGAGCAGGGGUAUAGGUGGAAGUGUCUGGGAUGUAAUUCUUGCCUUAGCAACCGAUACCCUCUCAUUGCUUCAUUGAAUCUUUCCUGUUCCUUGACCUCCACCCUUGUUUUCAGUAAUAGUGGUAUAAUGAGGUGAAUAAACGGCCCUGUCUACAAAGAAAUGCAAAAACGUCUGGCUUUGGCUAAAACUUCUUCAGGGGAUUGAAGGUGUGAGGGGUGGCCAGCAGGGUGAUCCUUGAGACCUAUCACACAGAGACACAUGUUCCCUGGUGGCUCUAGGAGGCCAGGGUCAACUUGGGGGUCUGGGAAUGAGCUCUGCCAGCCCAACCAGGGGACAAACUCCUUUCCAGAAUCUUCGAGUCCAUCCUUUGCUCCCCGUGGCCUACUCAGAGCCUCUGAAGUUGGGGAUGGUUAAUGGGCACGACACAAGCUCCACGUUCUCCGUGACACCCCCACCAUCCACCACUUUUCAAAUGCUACCUGAGUAGACUCUACAGAGGACUCUAAGGACAGUGACUGGAUAUGCUCUGCCCAAAACAGUCACCAGGGAACAAUGGUGGCUACUGAGCACUAGAGAUGUGGCCAGUCCAAACUGGGAUGUGCUGUUAAUUUCCCCUGUUUCUUUUCACUUUUCAAAAUGUGGCCAUGAGAAGAUUCAAUGUGACAAAUGUGGCUCUCAUUCGAGUUCUCCUGGACAGCAGCACUCAGACAAUUAUUGUCAGAGAGGUUGUUUCCAUUUGAGAGUAUGGAUCAGUCCAGUGAAAAACACAAGUCUCAGCUCCCCGUCACACCGAGAAUGACACCCCUGCUCCUAUCCGUGAGGGAGAUGAUGCUGAGGCACCUGCACCCUAAUUACCUCUUUAGCAUCCCUCUGCAUGCCCACUUCAGUCACGCUGGCAUCUUUCUCAGGAUCUCCAGGCUUGCCCCAGGCUCAAGGGCUUUGCAGCCAGUUCUCGCUAUCUGGGCUCCUUUUCCCCCAUAUGUUUUUGUCAUCUGGGUCUCACCCCAAAUCUCACCUCCUCAGAGAGGCCUUCCUCUCCUUCCUGUGGUGGGCAAGAUAAUGACCCCCCCCCCAAAGAGGUCCAUGUCUUACUCCCUGGGACCUGUUGUUAUGCUGCCUUCUGUGGCAAAAGAGAAUGUCCAGAUCCAAUGAAGUUAAGGAUUCUGAGAGGAGAAUAUUAUUCCAGACUAUCUGAGCAGAUCCAAGGUCAUCACAGGGGUCCUUGUGAGGGAAAGAGGGAGGCAAGAGAGUCAGAGUCGGAGAAGGAAGUGUGACGACACAAGCAGAGGUCGGAGGGAUGCAGCGCCCAGAGCCAAGGAACUCAGGCAGCCUGCGGACGAUGGAAAAAGCCAGAAAUGGAUUCUUCCCUAGAACCUCCAGAAGGAACGCAGCCCUGCCAACCCACUUUAGACUUCUGACCUCCAGAAUUAUAAGGCAAUCUAUUUCAAUUGUUUUAAGCCAAAAAAAUUGUGGUGAUUUGUUACUGGAGCAAUAAGAAACUAAAAUACACCCUUCUCUUGGACGAUGCACCACCCAGCCACCAGCUCCCCUGUUCCAUCCUUCUAGGUUACCCUUCCUGUAUCAUUUACUGCUCUCAGACAGGAUCUAUUAUUGGUUUACCUGUCUAUUUUCUGUCUCUUUGGACUAGAAGGCGAGCUCCCUGUGGGCAGAGUUCUCCUCUAUUUACUGCUAGGCACUCUGCCUUAUGAUCUAGCACCUGACACAUUGUCAAUGCUCCCUGGUAUGAACAAAUGGUUGAUGAACGAAUGAAUGGCAAUUUGCUACAGGAAAAUUAGAUAACAUCGGAAACAUUUUAGAGGAAAAUUAUACCCAAGUAGAUAAAAUGAAGACCAGUGAUAGAUGCUGGGGAGUGUUACUAUUUAUAGUGUACCAUGAUGGUGCUGAAGAGGCAUAAUGAAUUCUAUGGUGCUAUCCCUCCCACAGUCUCUGGAGACAGACAUGCACAGCACACAUGAUGAACCAGUGACCAGAGCGGGUAGUGAGUGUAUGGUUGGGGUGCAAUGAUUGGUGGGGUAGUAGGUCUGCACAGUGGUGAACUGGCAAACCAACUCUCAAAACAACAAUAAUGACAACAACAAAGCCCUGAUCUGUAAUGCCGGCCAAUUUCUGUGGUGUAAAUACUCCUACAAUGACUGAUUUCAAGCUACCACUGUAAUGACUCUAAAGAUGGUAUCGGAAAGAGCUAAUUUACCGGCAAGGCCUUGGAAGUGGGAUUUCGACUGGAUGUAAAAAUGUUGGUGGGCUAAGGGUGGCCUCAGGAGGGGGCAGGAGGCCUGUUGCUCACAAAGGCAAGAAUCUCUUCAAGGCUCACAAAGCAGGGUCUCAACAGUCCUUGUGGCUCCAGUGGGUUUCCUGUCAUUGAGAUCAACAGACAAAAAACAACUAACAGAAAUCACCCAGAAAAGGGCUGCCCGGAGAGAUGCAGGAGAAGAGGAUCUUAUAGCCAGGAAGACUUUUAUGAUAUUCCAGCUCGUUACUAAUUUAAUGAGAGUAGGCUGGAGCAAAGAGCUCAGGUUCCCAAUUCCCAUGGAAGAGCAGUGAAGAGUCCAGGUUCACUGAGCUGGUUAUAGGACAUCCAGACCUAGGUCAGGCUGAGGCCCUCACUCAUUCUGCCUCCCAGACCUUUGGUCAAUUGAGACAACAUGCAGCUCCCCGAAGUCCCUGCCUAAAAAUGAGAUGUCAAGUGAACUUGGGACACCCACCCAAAGUUCUCAAAGUAACCUUCCCUAAAAUCUCUAUCUUCAUUUAAGCAUCAUCCCCUGACAUUCGGAAGGCUGGGAAAUUUGAUUCUGAGAAUCCUGGGGUGGUGUUGAAGAGGCUGGUGCAGAGGGUCAGAUGGUACCUGGAUUUGAAUCGUGACUCACUUCCCAGGUGAGUGUCACUGGGGGGAGCAAGUUGACCUCUCUAGACUUUAGGUUCCCCAUUUGGAAAAGAGGAAGAAUAAUCAUUUCUUUCCAUUUUGUGUAUGUCACAUGAUGCAGAAGAUACACCCAGCACCGGGCCUGGGGCAUACUAAGUGUCGGAUCAGUAUGCAUGGUCGGGGGAUUAAGGUAAAAAUUAUGUGUUUUUCCUUCUCCAGAUCCUGCCAGACAAAACUGAAUUUCCUAAACAAGCCCCUCCCACCAUCCAGAGCCAUCUGGCCACUGCCUUCACUCUGAGAAGGAGGCCCCCUCCUCUCACCACCUCUAGACCCUGGGUCUGAUGGUCCUCUUAGGCCCACACCUUCUGUGAUGAUCACUUUAAGAGCACACAUUUGCUGUGUGCAGGGUGAGAUGUUUUCCUUGCUUGGGGUGCGUUUCAACGAAGGACAAGGAUGAGGCUAUUAUGUGAACAGAGGGACAACAAGGAAAACAAGACUGCUUUCUGAAAAGCAUGAAAAAGCUUUCUUUUGCCUGAAUGGCCAUUAUUUUCAUUCUUUCUCCCCCACACAAAGCCCCCGAGCACACUUCAUUCAGGCUGUUGCAGCGCCAGUGGGUGUGAAGAUGAGGUCCAAACAAAAGAAGUAACGUAUUGCUGUUGUCGGGUCUCUUGUUAAGUGCUUGGUGAGGUGGACCAAGUGUCCCCACCAGCCCCGCUGCUGGAAUUAUCAGGAACAAGAGGGCACACACACACCAUAUAAAUACAAAACCCCUACAUAAUCCUUCACAUGGUUACAUGACGAUUUAUGAGUGAGAGCUGGAUUUCAAGUUGGCAGACCACAAAAGCCCAGUGUUCCCCUAGAUGUUGGCACCUUGUCCUUCCCCUUGACAAUUUUGAGCGUCAAUUGUGCCACCUGGAAAAUGCCAUUCCUCUUGUGGUCCCCCCACCCCCCAAGGAAGAAGGCAGGAUUGCUCUAUUCCAGAUGUGCUGUGGACCCAGGGCACCCAUGUGAGAAAUGUGCCUGGAGAAGGGGGGAAAGUUCCAGGAGCCUGGGCACUGGGAUGUUCCAGGCCUUGGCUGUCCAAAUCACGCAGCUUAAAGUAAGAGAAAACCACUGUCUCCUAGUCCUGAGUUUUCUGCAAAUAAAAAAGCAAUGUCAAAGGGGGGAGGAAAUAAACCUUGGCAUUCUGCAAGUUUUCCUUUAUUAAGGAUAAUUUAGUGGCUUCGGUUGAUGGCUCUGUCUCUCUCUCUCUCCCUGUCUCUGUGGCAUGGUGUGCGUGUGCGUGUGCGUGUGUGUGUGUGUGUGUGUGUGUGAGAGAGAGAGAGAGAGAGAGAGAGAUUUUUCUUCACCAUAACAGUUUUCCUCUCUCCAACUUUCAUCAAAAAACUCAGUGUGCCAACCAGACAGAAGUUCUGAGAACUUUUCUUCUGGAUCAGUGGAUGAUUCUGAAGAAGGGGGAAGUGUUUCUUGAUAAUGUCUCAGUUCUUCGAGGGCCAGGCCUCUGCCACAUUUCCCACGAGGCCUCCCUAGUAUGUGCCAACCCUUUAAGUAUCAGCGGAGCUUUUGAAGAGCAACAUUACGAUGGCAUUUUUCUGAUUGCACAAUCCCUGUAGAGCCCUGUCAGAGGGACCCCUGCCCCAGCCACACCAAUACUAGAACCUCAGUGGAGGGCCUGUCCCAAUGUGAUUCAGCCAGAAGAAUAUCAUGUUUAAGAACGCUAUCCUAGGAGUUCUUGUCGUGGCUCAGUGGUUAACGAAACUGACUAGUAUCCACAGGGAUGCAGGUUCAAUCCCUGGCCUCGCUCAGUGAGUUAAGGAUCCAGUGUUGCCAUGAGCUGUGGUAUAGUUGCAGAUACGGCUGGGAUCUGGUGUUGCUGUGGCUGUGGCAAAGGCUUGCAGCUACAGCUCCAAUUUGACCCCUAGCCUGGGAAGCUCCAAAUGCCAGGGGUACAGCCCUAAAAAGACAAAAGAUAAAACACAACAACAAAAAAGCCAUCCUGGGUGCUCUUACACAAUGCCUACCCCACACCUGGCACUGUGGAGUAUGUAAUACAAAGGCAACAUAACCCAUGUUUGGGAGUCUCCUGGAGCCUAUCAUUGUAUGUGCUUUGAGCCUCCCCUACCCAUAUCCCCACCCCACCCCAGCCCCAUGUCCAGUGGUCAGCAUCUUGCCUUGGCACACGGGGAGCAGCCCAGCAGCAUGGCACCCCUGCUUACUAGCAGUGUGUGACCCUCUGACAAGUUUAUGACAUGCACACUGUGUCUAAGUUCCACUUUCUCAUUUAUAAGAUGUGGAUGGCAACACCUUCCCAGGAUUCAGGGAAGCCAUGCAUAAAGCACCUAACACAGGGCCAGCCCACAGUAGGUGCUUAGGAAAUUCUGGUGGUCAGCCUCUCUCUGAUAAGCUGUAAACAAACCAAAAAAACCUGUCUCC